This is a long non-coding RNA of Oreochromis niloticus (Nile tilapia), 2534 nucleotides long. Lineage: Eukaryota; Metazoa; Chordata; Actinopteri; Cichliformes; Cichlidae. The record is from Ensembl.
UUUUCAUUUUCAAUAGCUACACAAUAUGAUAAAAAUAUGACGAGGCAACAAAGUAUCAGCAGUUAUGGUUACAGUGCAUCAGUAGAAGGACUGCUGAAUAACUUCUUGUGCAUGCACAAUCUUUUUAUUUACUAAAGCGACAGGACAAAUUCUUGAGAACUUGACCACUAUCAGUCAAGCAUGCAAACAAGCUAGUAGGUAAGCUCCUGGCUGCUGUCCAAAUGCCAUGAGUCACAGAUCACAGACAACAGAUGGUGUGAUAGAGCUCUUCUUUGUUAACUUUGGCAGGAACCACAGAGCGUCUUACUGGAACCCAUUCCGCCCAUCCCUUCACAUCCCUUCUCUGAACACAAUCCCCUCAAGAGUAUAUCAUAAAAAACAGUCGUAAAUCAAAUGGAGCAUAAAUAAAGUUUAACAGGAAACAAAAUGUGUGAAACAGUGUGAGACGAAAAGUUAUUUUUGGGCUCCGUAAAAGGAGCAAUGACGAGGGGAAGAAAGAGAUCAUAGGGAGGGAAGAUGAUUUUUCUUAUCAAGCAAACAUGACUUGGGUGUUGAUGUCUUAAUUUGUUUUUCUUGUACAUUGUAAUAUAAUCUCUGUACAAUCAAAGGUAUUUUGACAAAUGAGUCUGGUGCGCACUGCCAGGCUUGCUGUGUGAUUGCAUAACUUUCGCCGCUGAAAUUCAUUAAUAGCCACAUAAUGGAAAAGCAAAGAGAAGCACUGCAGUGACAGCAAAAUGAACGGGCCUUUCCUCGGAAAGUCUCGAGACAAGACAAAUACGGCGUGUAAAUAACCAUUGUGCUUCAGGCCGGCACAUUCCAGAUCUGAGGACAAAUAGGCAGCCGUGUUAUCAAUCACACUGGUACAGUGCACUGUCACUUGCUCUUUUCAUCCAUUCCAAAUGACAGUCAUAACUUUGCCCUGACAAACCCAGCCAGCUUGAGCAACUUCCCCAAUCUAUCAAAGCUGUCAGAGGCAUUGCACGGCUAUGUUCUGAUUAAUUAUACCCUUGCUGCUCAGAGCUGUCAAUCAUCCAAACAGAUGUGGUUGCAACUCCACCAACAAGAGCUCAAACUGCCCCACCGACAUCCUGAAAUAUGUAUGAAAGUGGUGAAAGCCUCAACUCCUGGAUCAAAUCGUGAAAUUCUGCCUGCUGCUGCCUUCUCGUGAGAAUUGGAUCAACCCAGGAUCUCCAUUUCUUCAUUUUCUGUCGCUUGAGGGAGACUUUUCUCCACAGUGCGUUUUUUGUUCACUAAAAAUUGCUUAUCUGUAAAUAUGUUACAUCAGGUUUUUGGGGGGGUUUUGCAACACGUUUGGUGCGUAAAGGUCUUUAGCCUUAUAAUUCACUGUUGAGUUUUUUAAUCUUCCAAUCCAGUAAUAUAUAGUUAAAAUAUUUACUAGAGCUGAAUCAUGAAUGAGCUUUGAUUACUGCACACACAUGCUAGCUUCUGUAUGUAUGGGUUAGCAGUUAUUAAAAGUUUGAUGUUAGUGCUUUAAAAAGCUGUUACUCUUUUUUUUUUUCAACAUAGUCCAAAUUUAAUCUUUGGCUAUCUUGUUAAAAAAAACGUUAUUAAAUUUCUCAGCGCUAAAAUGAAGAACUCAAAAUCAAUAUGUUCUUACAUACUGUCAUAUUAGCACAGAAACGAAUGUGUUAAAUAGUAAAAAUCCAGAAAACGCCAGGUGGGGAAUCUUCUCUCUGGUACAGUAGUCGCUAUUAUCUGCUACUGAGUAUUUUUAAGAUUAUGAAAGAGGGCUUUGUCAAACAGAAGCAUGUAUACUUAGCAAACGUCCCACUGAAGAAGAAAGACAACACAAAAGUACACAGAUGUGCUGUAGAUGUGUGCCCAGGUGCAAACUCAUAACUGGUGCAGGCUGAUUCUAUAUUUCUGGAAACAGCUCUUGGCAAAAACAUAAGUACACUGCACCCACUGCAUAUUUAGUAGUCAUGCAGCUGAUGGACACUUUUGAAAUUGUGCAAUACUCACUUUAAUAUAUAUCAAUCAAAUUAUGUUAGUAAAGUUACCUGUAAUUUUGUACAACACAGUCAGUCAUUUAAACUAACAACCGUUGAAGCCAGCGCAGGUCUCUAAACAUGUCUAUUGGUUCAGCCUUUGCAGGUACAUCGUGGCACUUGCGCAAUGGAAAGACUGCAUGAGAGGAAGAAGAUGAUGAUUGGCAGGGCCCUCUGGCCAGCUGACUGGCUGACAAACUCCCUGGCCAACUGGUUAGGGGUUUUCCUCUUCUGCAGCUGGACAGAAAGGAGGAGAAUGUAGUAGGAUAACUGAAGAAGUGAGAGACAGAGCGGGGGGGCAACACAAGUAAAAGAGAAGGGAGAAAUGGACCAAGCGCUGUGCCAGCAAUUCGCUCUGCUGUUGUUUUAGGAGCCUUAAUAAACACAUCCAUAAACUUGGUCUGUGCGUCGCUUUCCUUCCACCUCUUCCCAGGAUGGCCAAUGCAAGGCGCACAGGGGGAGUUGAAUACAACAAAACUCUAUUAUAGCACCAUUUCUAGUUCUACUUUGCAGCUUACUCAUAUU